AUACGGAGGGUGCAAGCGUUACUCGGAAUCACUGGGCGUAAAGCGCGCGCAGGCGGGCUGAUAAGUUGGAUGUGAAAGCCUACGGCUCAACCGUAGAACUGCAUCCAAAACUGUCAGUCUAGAGUGUGGGAGAGGAAGAUGGAAUUAGUUGUGUAGGGGUAAAAUCCGUAGAGAUAACUAGGAAUACCAAAAGCGAAGGCAAUCUUCUGGAACACUACUGACGCUGAGGCGCGAAGGCGUGGGGAGCAAACAGGAUUAGAUACCCGUGUAGUCC
Molecule: ribosomal RNA, 274 nt
Filed under: uncultured bacterium
Lineage: Bacteria
Description: partial 16S ribosomal RNA
Rfam family: Bacterial small subunit ribosomal RNA
Source: RNAcentral